AGUGAACGCUGGCGGUAGGCCUAACACAUGCAAGUCGAACGGCAGCACAGUAAGAGCUUGCUCUUACGGGUGGCGAGUGGCGGACGGGUGAGGAAUACAUCGGAAUCUACUUUUUCGUGGGGGAUAACGUAGGGAAACUUACGCUAAUACCGCAUACGACCUACGGGUGAAAGCAGGGGAUCUUCGGACCUUGCGCGAUUGAAUGAGCCGAUGUCGGAUUAGCUAGUUGGCGGGGUAAAGGCCCACCAAGGCGACGAUCCGUAGCUGGUCUGAGAGGAUGAUCAGCCACACGGGAACGGAGACACGGUCCAUACUCCUACGGGAGGCAGCAGUGGGGAAUAUUGGACAAUGGGCGCAAGCCUGAUCCAGCCAUACCGCGUGGGUGAAGAAGGCCUUCGGGUUGUAAAGCCCUUUUGUUGGGAAAGAAAAGCAGCAGGUUAAUACCCCGCUGUUCUGACGGUACCCAAAGAAUAAGCACCGGCUAACUUCGUG
RNAcentral lists this ribosomal RNA (492 nucleotides) under uncultured bacterium. RNAcentral's name for it is "partial 16S ribosomal RNA". It matches the Rfam family "Bacterial small subunit ribosomal RNA", at positions 29 to 507 of the family's 1533-position model. The record is from RNAcentral.